CCGCUAGAUGACGCUGGCGGCGUGCUUAACACAUGCAAGUCGAACGAUGAUCCGGUGCUUGCAUCGGGGAUUAGUGGCGAACGGGUGAGUAACACGUGAGUAACCUGCCCUUGACUCUGGGAUAAGCCUGGGAAACUGGGUCUAAUACCGGAUACGACCAUCUGGCGCAUGCCAUGGUGGUGGAAAGCUUUUGCGGUUUUGGAUGGACUCGCGGCCUAUCAGCUUGUUGGUGGGGUAAUGGCCUACCAAGGCGACGACGGGUAGCCGGCCUGAGAGGGUGACCGGCCACACUGGGACUGAGACACGGCCCAGACUCCUACGGGAGGCAGCAGUGGGGAAUAUUGCACAAUGGGCGCAAGCCUGAUGCAGCGACGCCGCGUGAGGGAUGACGGCCUUCGGGUUGUAAACCUCUUUCAGUAGGGAAGAAGCGAAAGUGACGGUACCUGCAGAAGAAGCGCCGGCUAACUACGUGCCAGCAGCCGCGGUAAUACGUAGGGCGCAAGCGUUAUCCGGAAUUAUUGGGCGUAAAGAGCUCGUAGGCGGUUUGUCGCGUCUGCUGUGAAAGACCGGGGCUCAACUCCGGUUCUGCAGUGGGUACGGGCAGACUAGAGUGAUGUAGGGGAGACUGGAAUUCCUGGUGUAGCGGUGAAAUGCGCAGAUAUCAGGAGGAACACCGAUGGCGAAGGCAGGUCUCUGGGCAUUAACUGACGCUGAGGAGCGAAAGCAUGGGGAGCGAACAGGAUUAGAUACCCUGGUAGUCCAUGCCGUAAACGUUGGGCACUAGGUGUGGGGGACAUUCCACGUUUUCCGCGCCGUAGCUAACGCAUUAAGUGCCCCGCCUGGAGU
RNAcentral lists this ribosomal RNA (846 nucleotides) under Arthrobacter sp. Its description in RNAcentral is "bacterial SSU rRNA". It matches the Rfam family "Bacterial small subunit ribosomal RNA", at positions 22 to 879 of the family's 1533-position model. Lineage: Bacteria; Bacillati; Actinomycetota; Actinomycetes; Micrococcales; Micrococcaceae. The record is from RNAcentral.